AAUACAGCCUCGUUCGCCGGUGCCCAACGGGCCUAACAGGGAACGCAGGGCGUGGCUCGCCGCGCCGCUGCGGCUGCCCCCGCCACCGCGUGCAGCGAGUGCGCCGCCCGUCGAUGCCGCGGGAUGCAUGCCGGAAGACGCGCGGCGGCGAGCUGCGCGCCAGCAGACCUGCCGGCCCGAUGAGCGUGCC
RNAcentral lists this non-coding RNA (190 nucleotides) under Burkholderia glumae. The record is from RNAcentral. Lineage: Bacteria; Pseudomonadati; Pseudomonadota; Betaproteobacteria; Burkholderiales; Burkholderiaceae.